Molecule: ribosomal RNA, 424 nt
Filed under: uncultured Bacteroidota bacterium
Lineage: Bacteria; Pseudomonadati; Bacteroidota
Description: bacterial SSU rRNA
Rfam family: Bacterial small subunit ribosomal RNA
Source: RNAcentral
UAAGGAAUAUUGGUCAAUGGACGCAAGUCUGAACCAGCCAUGCCGCGUGCAGGAAGACGGCCCUAUGGGUUGUAAACUGCUUUUGUCGGGGAAGAAACCCAUCUACGUGUAGAUGGCUGACGGUACUCGAAGAAUAAGGAUCGGCUAACUCCGUGCCAGCAGCCGCGGUAAUACGGAGGAUCCAAGCGUUAUCCGGAUUUAUUGGGUUUAAAGGGUGCGUAGGCGGCGUUGUAAGUCAGUGGUGAAAGUUUUCAGCUUAACUGGAAAAUUGCCAUUGAUACUGCAGUGCUUGAGUAUAGAUGAGGUGGGCGGAAUGUGUCAUGUAGCGGUGAAAUGCAUAGAUAUGACACAGAACACCGAUUGCGAAGGCAGCUCACUAAACUAUAACUGACGCUGAGGCACGAAAGCGUGGGGAUCAAACAGG